Stegostoma tigrinum is the source of this 327-nucleotide long non-coding RNA. RefSeq lists it as uncharacterized. The record is from RefSeq and is a predicted model, not a curated record. NCBI's taxonomy places the organism in Eukaryota, Metazoa, Chordata, Chondrichthyes, Orectolobiformes, Stegostomatidae. The transcript has 4 exons.
CAUGAAACACUGCUGGUGCUUCCAUUUGCGAUUGUUCUGUCUUCACCCAAUAAGCAGAAAUGAAAAGAGAAUGCAAGAAACCAGAAUACUGGAAAUUAUGAGGUGAAUUUUGCCAGCUUCUGAACAAUGUGAGCAUGGAUGAGUCUAAAGAAAAAAAUAUGGAGAGAUCAGAAAACUGAGAUUGAGAACAUUGAGAAGAAAGGCUCAAUUUUGCACCCAGUGUUGGACUGUUGAGACAAGAUUUUCAUUGGGUUACAAAUUCGAUGGCUGGAAAAGAAUAAUUGAAGCAAAUGGCAGCUUUGUACUGAUUCCCGGAGAAUGCAAUGU